This is a non-coding RNA of Cinara cedri, 357 nucleotides long. NCBI's taxonomy places the organism in Eukaryota, Metazoa, Arthropoda, Insecta, Hemiptera, Aphididae. The record is from the annotation of a GenBank genome assembly.
CACCAUACAUAACUAGACAUGUGUCUCAAAUCGUAAAAACUCAUAUCGCUCUUAUUCACACCACGUAUACCGUUAUAUUAAAAUAACAACAUUGUUCACAAGAAAUAAUAUAAACGAGAAAUUUUCGUGUACCAUGAAUUUUAAACUGUCAAAAAAAAAAAAAAAAACACAAAACACAAAUUAGUUAUUUUUUUGAAAUCCCGAUUGUGGCCGCUCGGUGUUUCAACGUAAAAGUCUAAUUCGCCUGCAUUCCGCAUGUGCUCCUAGUACCUAACCCCCUUACCAAAGUCGUCUAAAUUUUCUCGGCUACACUGACACCGCCACUCGCCCGACCAUCAACGUCGCGAUAGAAAUAAC